GAAAGAAAGAAAGUGAUGCAAGUUUGGAACAACAUGAGAAGAAUCCUGGCGUAUCUUCCUAUUGAAAGCCACUGGGUGUGCAGGACUGAGUGGACAGAAGCGAAAGAGAACGAGAAGGAAGAAGUUUAGCUCCACUGGGAGCAAGUGGGAGAAAAAGAGAGAGAGCAAACCCUCGAGUUCAUCAAUGUGUUUCCAAUCUUUACUGGCAGGGUGAGUUUAAGAUUGAAUCAAUGCGAGGAAAAAUAAAAAUAGAGGUAGACUGUUAUUUACCGAGUAAGGUGCCAUUCGAGCAUAAUGCAUUUUUGUGUUUAAAAACACAUUUAAGUUAAACUUUUUAAUUUGAGCGCCAUUUUUUUAUUAUUCAGGUUCAUGCACGGGACACAGCAAAAGGCUUUGGGCACGGCCCGUGUUUCUGGACCACCCUAAUAGUUCCAAUAAAGUGUUUGCACCUACAGUGCGUCACAGCUGGGUCAGUUACCCAGAUGCGUGGCCAUAUUGGAGAUAUUCAGAUGAAAACAACAGUAAAGGAUGUGAUAUUCUGACAAACUAAGGUUAAUAGGUGGUAAAUAUCCAUACGAGCUGGCUCGUUUGUUGUGGACUGACGACCCGACAGUUCUUUCUUCUAUUUUUAUCCCAACAUAAGCUGUUUCCAUUACACUUCAAAUUGUGCAAACUGAAAUUGCAAUUUAAUGUUUUAUAACCUCAAAGAAACAGCUCAUAUGUGGCUGCUUUCAAGUAUGAAGGGCUUUCCUUGCCAUUAAUGCUUGGAUAACCCCUUAUUUACACUGCAGCUCUGACAUGGCCACUGGAGCUGAUUGCGUCCACGUUAGUCAUUGCUUGUGUUUAUAGCAGCCACGUGCUUCAGCAUGUUUCAGAAGCGUCCCAGAAGCAUCUAUCUGCACUGCUUUGCUAAAGAUACACAUCUAUGUUUCCUUCAAUUAAAAAUAAUGGCUAGUGCAAUGGUUGCGAUAUAGUAAACCUACCAACAUCCGUCACCAUGACUUAUCGCAAGUGGAAAAAAAAUUAUGUUUUAGUCGCACAACAUCGGUUAAUGGAAACGCAUCAUUUAAUUUUUUUUUUUUUUUAAAAUUUUAAAUUAAUGGAAAUGCAGCUAUAGUGAAAUAUUUUGGGUUUGCCAAGAACAUACACAAGUUCUGUUCGGUUCAGUGGCACUGUUUUAGUUCAGUACCUUAAUAUGGCCGACUUCCGGAUUAAUGACGUGCCAUGAAAACACCCUACAGACGUUUCAACCCUAAACACAAACUACUUUGACAAUAAUAGGUCAAUAUAAUAGACUGCACUUACAUUUUUCCUCUGCUAAUGAAAGCAGCUCCAAACAAAGCCACAGCAGAAUUAAGCAUUGUGUGUUUCCAAGCAACACAAACAAUAGUGAUGUUGCUGUAUGGAUCAUGUUU
Molecule: long non-coding RNA, 1415 nt
Organism: Cyprinus carpio carpio
Lineage: Eukaryota; Metazoa; Chordata; Actinopteri; Cypriniformes; Cyprinidae
Source: Ensembl